CGUUUACAGUGAACAUUACGAUUCAAGGUCUAAAACCUCAAAAGAAAACAUCCCUUCAUCUUCUUAAGCGCGGUUGGAACAAGGUUCAAUGAUUAGGGUUUGUUCUCGGCCUCGAUUAGUUAGGGUUUCAUUUCAUCAGGGAUUUGGGUUAGAGUUGAAGUAUUGUCUGGAUCUUCGAAGAUAUGAUUCAGUAUCAAAAGAUUUACCAGCAAUAUUGAAUUUUAAUGCUGUGAAGUUGGACAACCUCUCAUUAAGAAUCUGUGUACUGUGUAGUCAACAAGUGAUGCUUGUUCCUGUAAUGAUUGAAGUUGCAACUUCAUAUUUAGCAGGAAACAAGUUUUAUUUUCAUCCAGCAAAAAUUUUACCAUUAGAGAGAUUCCUUGUGCAAGCUAUGAUUUGAUGCGUGCGAAGGAUGCUUAAACAUUUAAGAACCCCAUUGUAUUUAGGGGAAGGAUCAAAGCAGGAACGCUUUCUCUCAGCACGAUAUGUUGUUCUGACUUCUGAACUAGAAGCGAUAAUGCUUUCCCAUAAGUCAUUUUUGAUCAAUAAGAAGCUCUUUAAAAAGAUGAGACACAACAGACCCAUCGACCGCUAACUGGAUCCUUAAGAGAACUGAUCAGGUUUAUUUUAAACCUUGUCUUCCUGCCUCAUUAUUCAUAUCUGUUCUUGUGUAAAAGUUUUUUGAUUUUUUUAAAUAUGGGAAGCUCAAGUAUGUUCAGGAGUCCUAAUGGUCUAGUUCUUAUUGUUGUGCUUAUCCUUAUGAAGAGUUAUUUGUUCGCCUGGAAGAAGGAUGUUGUAUUAUCAUUGGUGUUUGAUCUUGAAGGGUGGUUGCAUCA
Molecule: RNA transcript, 836 nt
Organism: Papaver somniferum (opium poppy)
Lineage: Eukaryota; Viridiplantae; Streptophyta; Magnoliopsida; Ranunculales; Papaveraceae
Exons: 6
Source: RefSeq, a predicted model, not a curated record